Molecule: ribosomal RNA, 385 nt
Filed under: Biatoropsis macaronesica
Lineage: Eukaryota; Fungi; Basidiomycota; Tremellomycetes; Tremellales; Tremellaceae
Description: Biatoropsis sp. AMM-2022d partial large subunit ribosomal RNA
Rfam family: Eukaryotic large subunit ribosomal RNA
Source: RNAcentral
GACCUCAAAUCAGGUAGGGCUACCCGCUGAACUUAAGCAUAUCAAUAAGCGGAGGAAAAGAAACUAACAAGGAUUCCCCUAGUAACGGCGAGCGAACCGGGAUGAGCUCAAAUUUGAAAUCUGGCGCCCUCCGGACGUCCGAGUUGUAAUCUAUAGAAGCGUUUUCCGUGCCGGACCGUGUCCAAGUCCCUUGGAACAGGGUAUCAAAGAGGGUGACAAUCCCGUACUUGACACGACGACCGGCGCUCUGUGAUACGUUCUCUACGAGUCGAGUUGUUUGGGAAUGCAGCUCAAAACGGGUGGUAAAUUCCAUCUAAAGCUAAAUAUUGGCGAGAGACCGAUAGCGAACAAGUACCGUGAGGGAAAGAUGAAAAGCACUUUGGAA